UACGUAUGGAGCAAGCGUUAUCCGGAUUUACUGGGUGUAAAGGGAGUGCAGGUGGCCAGGCAAGUCAGAAGUGAAAGCCCGGGGCUCAACCCCGGGACUGCUUUUGAAACUGCAGGGCUAGAGUGCAGGAGGGGCAAGUGGAAUUCCUAGUGUAGCGGUGAAAUGCGUAGAUAUUAGGAGGAACACCAGUGGCGAAGGCGGCUUGCUGGACUGUAACUGACACUGAGGCUCGAAAGCGUGGGGAGCAAACAGG
This 253-nucleotide ribosomal RNA is filed under the name [Lactobacillus] rogosae. RNAcentral's name for it is "Lactobacillus rogosae partial 16S ribosomal RNA". It matches the Rfam family "Bacterial small subunit ribosomal RNA", at positions 524 to 776 of the family's 1533-position model. The record is from RNAcentral. Lineage: Bacteria; Bacillati; Bacillota; Clostridia; Lachnospirales; Lachnospiraceae.